UAUCACUAAGCGGAGGAAAAGAAACUAACCAGGAUUCCCCUAGUAACGGCGAGUGAAGAGGGAAAAGCCCAGCACCGAAGCCUGCGGUAGUUUUACUGUUAGGCAAUGUGGUGUUUGGGUCGGCUAGUUGGAUUGCCACUCCACUCGAAGUCCUAUCAUUGAGUAUGGCCCUGGACUUGUCCCAGAGAGGGUGAAAGGCCCGUACGGGUGGAGGUUUUCAGACAAGUGAGGCAAUUCACCAGGCCGGCCUUAGAGUCGGGUUGUUUGGGAAUGCAGCCCAAAGUGGGUGGUAAACUCCAUCCAAGGCUAAAUACUAGCACGAGUCCGAUAGCAAACAAGUACCGUGAGGGAAAGUUGAAAAGUACUUUGAAGAGAGAGUAAACAGUACGUGAAACCGCAUGCAGGUAAACGGGUGGCGUCAAGCUGCAAGCCCAGAGGAUUCAGUCGGCUAGGAUGUAGUGUAUGCGCCUGCGCAUCAAUCGGCCAGAGUAAGAUUGAAUGGUCCACUGGAAGACAGUGGGCCCUGCCGCAAGGUGGGGAUGUGUGUACCGGGUGGAUGCCGGAGCACGCCGUUCGUCUAUUGGGCUGCCUAGUCGGUGCACUUUCUCUGUGGUGGACACCACGACCGGUGGUACUGCCAGUCUGCUAUGGUCAAGUCGUAUUCGGUUGGUCCUUGUGGCCUACUGGAUGCGAUCACGGGCAAACUCGGUAAACGGCGUUGAUGUGCUCUCGGGUGUGUCUUCGUGUUAUCGGCUACUGGUUGCCUUAACGGGCCUGCCUUACGAUUGUUAUAGCCGUCAUGAGGUGGUCUGGUGGACUAUAGUGGUAUGAAUAACUGUGCAGGGCACUGGUGUUUUCGGCCUCAAAUGCAGUCUGUAUGCACGCUAUAAGUGUGUGUGCGUGUGUGGGGGCAUCGUUGCGGCCUGCCUGUUGUUGGGUCUGAUUGUCGUGUUACCUGCGCAAAGUAGGUCCGGCAGUGGUCUGAUGCAGGAUGGAGUCGUUGGCGAUGUCUUCAGUGCAGAUUGUGGUGGGCCCGAUAGUCUGUGGUGUAGUGGUAGACGAGCUACCCGACCCGUCUUGAAACACGGACCAAGGAGUUUAACAUGUGUGCAAGUCAUGGGGUCUUUUUUGUACGAAACCCAAAGGCGCAAUGAAAGUAAAGCUUCGAGCUUUUUGUUCGAAGUGAGGUGAGAUCCUGUUGUUACUCGCACCCGUUUGCUCGUCAGUAGCAGGCAUCAAGAGCGGCAGGCGCAUCACCGGCCCGUCCCAUGAUGUGGUCAUUGGAAAAGGCUGCAGUUGGCUAUGCUGGUUGUAGUACUCCCAGUGCGUCAUCGGGGCGGAGCAUGAGCAUACAUGUUGAGACCCGAAAGAUGGUGAACUAUGCUUGCGUAGGUUGAAGCCAGAGGAAACUCUGGUGGAGGACCGCAGCGAUUCUGACGUGCAAAUCGAUCGUCAAACGUGAGUAUAGGGGCGAAAGACUAAUCGAAC
Molecule: ribosomal RNA, 1488 nt
Filed under: Rhinebothrium sp. 9 Healy et al. (2009)
Lineage: Eukaryota; Metazoa; Platyhelminthes; Cestoda; Rhinebothriidea; Rhinebothriidae
Description: eukaryotic LSU rRNA
Rfam family: Eukaryotic large subunit ribosomal RNA
Source: RNAcentral